RNAcentral lists this ribosomal RNA (449 nucleotides) under uncultured bacterium. RNAcentral describes it as "bacterial SSU rRNA". It matches the Rfam family "Bacterial small subunit ribosomal RNA", at positions 29 to 524 of the family's 1533-position model. The record is from RNAcentral.
AACGAACGCUGGCGGCAGGCCUAACACAUGCAAGUCGAACGCCCUAGCAAUAGGGAGUGGCAGACGGGUGAGUAACACGUGGGAACCUUCCCUAUAGUACGGAAUAGCCCAGGGAAACUUGGAGUAAUACCGUAUACGCCCGAAAGGGGAAAGAUUUAUCGCUAUAGGAUGGGCCCGCGUAGGAUUAGCUAGUUGGCGGGGUAAUGGCUCACCAAGGCGACGAUCCUUAGCUGGUUUGAGAGAACGACCAGCCACACUGGGACUGAGACACGGCCCAGACUCCUACGGGAGGCAGCAGUGGGGAAUAUUGGACAAUGGGCGCAAGCCUGAUCCAGCCAUGCCGCGUGAGUGAUGAAGGCCUUAGGGUUGUAAAGCUCUUUUGCCGGGACGAUAAUGACGGUACCCGGAGAAUAAGUCCCGGCUAACUUCGUGCCAGCAGCCGCGGUAAU